UGCAGUCGAGCGGAACGAGUUAUCUGAACCUUCGGGGAACGAUAACGGCGUCGAGCGGCGGACGGGUGAGUAAUGCCUAGGAAAUUGCCCUGAUGUGGGGGAUAACCAUUGGAAACGAUGGCUAAUACCGCAUAAUGCCUACGGGCCAAAGAGGGGGACCUUCGGGCCUCUCGCGUCAGGAUAUGCCUAGGUGGGAUUAGCUAGUUGGUGAGGUAAUGGCUCACCAAGGCGACGAUCCCUAGCUGGUCUGAGAGGAUGAUCAGCCACACUGGAACUGAGACACGGUCCAGACUCCUACGGGAGGCAGCAGUGGGGAAUAUUGCACAAUGGGCGCAAGCCUGAUGCAGCCAUGCCGCGUGUGUGAAGAAGGCCUUCGGGUUGUAAAGCACUUUCAGUCGUGAGGAAGGUAGUGUAGUUAAUAGCUGCAUUAUUUGACGUUAGCGACAGAAGAAGCACCGGCUAACUCCGUGCCAGCAGCCGCGGUAAUACGGAGGGUGCGAGCGUUAAUCGGAAUUACUGGGCGUAAAGCGCAUGCAGGUGGUUUGUUAAGUCAGAUGUGAAAGCCCGGGGCUCAACCUCGGAAUAGCAUUUGAAACUGGCAGACUAGAGUACUGUAGAGGGGGGUAGAAUUUCAGGUGUAGCGGUGAAAUGCGUAGAGAUCUGAAGGAAUACCGGUGGCGAAGGCGGCCCCCUGGACAGAUACUGACACUCAGAUGCGAAAGCGUGGGGAGCAAACAGGAUUAGAUACCCUGGUAGUCCACGCCGUAAACGAUGUCUACUUGGGAGGUUGUGGCCUUGAGCCGUGCUUUCGGAGCUAACGCGUUAAGUAGACCGCCUGGGGAGUACGGUCGCAGAUUAAACUCAAUGAAUUGACGGGGCCGCACAGCGGUGGAGCAUGUGUUUAUUCGAUGCACGCGAGA
This 920-nucleotide ribosomal RNA is filed under the name bacterium. RNAcentral's name for it is "bacterial SSU rRNA". It matches the Rfam family "Bacterial small subunit ribosomal RNA", at positions 56 to 966 of the family's 1533-position model. The record is from RNAcentral.